UGUGAAGCUUCUAUAUUAAUGUCAGACUAGUCCCUUCUGAAACACGAGUUUUUUCUCAAAAUUAGUCCCAUUACUAAGAGAAUAUCAAGGUGGAUUCAGGAGAAAGCUGUCAUGGACAAUGCAAGUGCAUCGACUAUGCACUUUCCUAUGAGCAUCAAUCAAAUUGAGCUUCUGAAUGGCUCAAACUUUAAGAAAUGGAAAGGGGACAUAGAACUGAAUCUGGGGAUAUU
RNAcentral lists this long non-coding RNA (230 nucleotides) under Rosa chinensis. RNAcentral describes it as "sRNA RchiOBHm_Chr2g0115311". Lineage: Eukaryota; Viridiplantae; Streptophyta; Magnoliopsida; Rosales; Rosaceae. The record is from RNAcentral.